AAAGGAAUAGACGGGGGCCCGCACAAGCAGCGGAGCAUGUCGUUUAAUUCGAUGCAACGCGAAGAACCUUACCAGGUCUUGACAUCCAACUAAACUCGCGGAGACGCGAGGUCCCUUCGGGGGAGUUGAGACAGGUGGUGCAUGGUUGUCGUCAGCUCGUGUCGUGAGAUGUUGGGUUAAGUCCCGCAACGAGCGCAACCCUUAUGAUCAGUUACUAACGGGUAACGCCGAGGACUCUGAUAAGACUGCCGGGGAUAACUCGGAGGAAGGUGGGGACGACGUCAAAUCAUCAUGCCCCUUAUGACCUGGGCUACAGACGUGCUACAAUGGCGACUACAAAGAGGUGCGAGACUGUAAAGUUAAGCGGAUCUCAAAAAAGUCGUCCCAGUUCGGACUGUGGGCUGCAACCCGCCCACACGAAGUUGGAGUUGCUAGUAAUCGCGGAUCAGCAUGCCGCGGUGAAUACGUUCCCGGGCCUUGUACACACCGCCCGU
This 494-nucleotide ribosomal RNA is filed under the name uncultured bacterium. Its description in RNAcentral is "bacterial SSU rRNA". It matches the Rfam family "Bacterial small subunit ribosomal RNA", at positions 903 to 1397 of the family's 1533-position model. The record is from RNAcentral.